GUUAGGAAUAUUGGACAAUGGGCGCAAGCCUGAUCCAGCCAUGCCGCGUGAGUGAUGAAGGCCUUCGGGUUGUAAAGCUCUUUAGUCCACGAAUAUAAUGACUGUAGUGGAAGAAUAAGCCCCGGCUAACUUCGUGCCAGCAGCCGCGGUAAUACGAAGGGGGCGAGCGUUAUUCGGAAUCACUGGGCGUAAAGCGUGCGUAGGCUGUUUUGUAAGUCAGAAGUGAAAGCCCAGGGCUUAACCCUGGAAUUGCUUUUGAAACUACAAGACUCGAAUUCGGGAGAGGAUAGCGGAAUUGUCAGUGUAGCAGUGAAAUGCGUAGAUAUUGACAGGAACACCAGUGGCGCAAGCGGCUAUCUGGACCGAUAUUGACGCUGAGGCACGAAAGCGUGGGGAGCAAACAGGAUUAGAAACCCUGGUAGUCC
Molecule: ribosomal RNA, 425 nt
Filed under: uncultured bacterium
Lineage: Bacteria
Description: partial 16S ribosomal RNA
Rfam family: Bacterial small subunit ribosomal RNA
Source: RNAcentral